RNAcentral lists this ribosomal RNA (497 nucleotides) under uncultured bacterium. Its description in RNAcentral is "partial 16S ribosomal RNA". It matches the Rfam family "Bacterial small subunit ribosomal RNA", at positions 28 to 507 of the family's 1533-position model. The record is from RNAcentral.
GACGAACGCUGGCGGCGUGCCUAAUACAUGCAAGUUGAGCGCUGAAGGUUGGUACUUGUACCAACUGGAUGAGCAGCGAACGGGUGAGUAACGCGUGGGGAAUCUGCCUUUGAGCGGGGGACAACAUUUGGAAACGAAUGCUAAUACCGCAUAAAAACUUUAAACACAAGUUUUAAGUUUGAAAGAUGCAAUUGCAUCACUCAAAGAUGAUCCCGCGUUGUAUUAGCUAGUUGGUGAGGUAAAGGAUCACCAAGGCGAUGAUACAUAGCCGACCUGAGAGGGUGGUCAGCCACAUUGGGACUGAGACACGGCCCAAAAGCCUACGGGAGGCAGCAGUAGGGAAACUUCGGCAAUGGACGAAAGUCUGACCGAGCAACGCCGCGUGAGUGAAGAAGGUUUUCGGAUCGUAAAACUCGGUUGGUAGGGAAGAACGUUGGUGAGAGUGGAAAGCUCAUCAAGUGACGGUAACUACCCAGAAAGGGACGGCUAACUACGUG